UUUUAAAGUCAUAGAUAUAUCUUCAGUUUACUAGCUUAUCUUGGAAAUUUUAAUUUUUAAACUAGGAUUAGAUACCCUAUUAUUUUAAUAUGUAUGUCUUUAUGCUUAGGUAGUAUUAGUUAUGGUCUUGAAACUUAAAAAAUUUGGCGGUAUUUUAGUCUGUUCAGAGGAACCUGUUCUGUAAUCGAUAGUCCACGUUGGACCUUACUCGAUCUUGUUUAUCAGUUUGUAUACCGCCGUUAUUGAAUAUUUUAUUAGAAUAAUAAUUUUCGAUUUACUUUAUUAAAGGUUUAUAUCAGGUCAAGGUGCAGCUUAUGGUUGAGAUUGUAAUGGGUUACAAUAAUUUUAUUUAUACGGAUAUUAGAAUUAAAUUUCUGGUUGAAGGCGGAUUUGAUAGUAAAGUUAUUUAGAUAAAUGGUUUGAUUUUAGCUCUAAAAUAUGUAC
RNAcentral lists this ribosomal RNA (444 nucleotides) under Machimus rusticus. RNAcentral describes it as "partial small subunit ribosomal RNA". The record is from RNAcentral. Lineage: Eukaryota; Metazoa; Arthropoda; Insecta; Diptera; Asilidae.